Molecule: unclassified non-coding RNA, 1536 nt
Filed under: Leishmania donovani
Lineage: Eukaryota; Euglenozoa; Kinetoplastea; Trypanosomatida; Trypanosomatidae
Description: gene:LdHU3.36.4930(CDS-product:Small_acidic_prote in_family_putative)
Source: RNAcentral
CCCACACCCGCCACUCUAACGGAAGUACAGGUGUGUCACUGCGCUCACAUGCCAGAAGGGUCGCCGCGCGUCUUUGCGUCUGAGCGCUGACACGAAAAAAGAGAAGAGCAUCAUUGGUGCUCUUGCCUGUUCUUGGCCCCUUACUUUUCUCUGCACGCGCAACAUCAAGCACCAUGACUUCCUUCAAGGACUGCCUUCGCGAGGUACGCGAGGCCGCCACGGAGCAUCUCGAGGGGUGCCGCGGCGGCGACACAGAGAAAGCACUGCAGCACAUACCACGCGAGGAGGCUCUGACUACGAUCUCGCUUGUAGCGAUUCGGCUCCUGGAGCAGGAGCUGCAGAAGCGCGGCGCCUGCGACGACGCCAGUCAGAACGAGCUGCACUCAAAACUCAAGGCAUGCCGCAAGGCCCUCAAGUCUCACAGCGCACGCUCCGCCGCCGGAGACGAAGGCACCUCGGACAAGAAGCGUCGCCGGACCGAGGACUCUACCGAAGAGCCAACCUCCUCCUCCUCGUCCCGCGGCACGGCUACAGCAGACCGAUCAGGGACCUCCAAGUUGAUUGAGUUGGGACAAUACGCUUCUUCCGACGCCUUCGACGAGAACGAGCAGAAGCGAAUGAAGUUUGCGCGCCUCAUGGGCGGGGCAAAGGUGGCUGCUCAGGAGAAGGGCGGCGCUGGCGGGCACUCGCGCCACAAUACUUUUGCCGCGAGCAACGCCGAGUUGAAGCGCAUGAACGCGAACCUAGAGUCGCAGUUCGAGUUUGCUAUGAGUCACAAGGGCAAGAAGGGGCUCGGGGCGUGAAGCGCGACAGGAACCCCGCGCAGGCGGAACACGUCAGGUGGGGAGACAGUGGCCAGCAAGGCGGUGCGCCCCUUUCCCACCCCUUCUCCCUCGUUCGGUUGCUCUCCCUCGGCCCCAGCUCGCUUUUCGGUGUGUUUGUGUGCGCGUGUGUCACCUGUAAAAUGUGGCGUAAUAUCGAUGAACUAAUCGCCCAAAGAGACGUAGCAAACAGGAAGGGAGGAGGAGGAAGGAGAGAGGGACACCAGUGGGGCGUUUGCGUGCAGGCAGAUGCCAACAGUUGCGCCGUUGACAGCAGCACAAGUGUGAGCGUGUGUGUGUGUGUGUGUCGCCACGACACAAUGCAAGAUGGCAGAAAAUAGCCAGGGCGCUCGGAAAAGGAAUGGAGAAGGGAAAGCGGCGUUGUGAUUCUGCUGCCUGGUGCAAAUGCUGUCGUGACCCACCACCACCCCUCUUUCUCGUUUUCUUUCCGAGUCCGCUGCCCUCACCCUCCUCUCUCAGCCACCAAAGCAGCACGGGAUACGUGCUCCACCUUUGGGGUAGUGUGGGCAGUAGGGGGGGGGGCCUGCUCCUCGCACUUCGAUGCUUCUUUCCUUCACUUUAUGUCUGCCAGCAGGCGUAAGGUGGUGAGGCUCGCUCCGGUGUUGCACGGCAUGCAGCGAUGGCAGUAGCAGCAUCUAUAUCUUCCCUGUAUCGUUAUCCCUCUCCUACGUUUGCCCUCUCUUCUCUGCUGAAG